AUGGCUCGUGCUGUUGUUUCGUUGAAUUUUAAUGCGUUCCUUGAGAAAGCAAAGUUGAAAGAUGAUGGUAGCAAUUACACGGACUGGGUCCGUGACUUGAGGAUUAUCCUCAUUGCUGCACAGAAAAGUUACGUCCUGGAAUUACCGCUGGGUGCCAGGCCUGCUGCUGAUGGAACUGACGAUGUUAAGAACGUCUGGCAGAGCAAAGCUGAUGACUACUCGAUAGUUCAAUGUGCCAUGCUUUACGACUUAGAAUCGGGUCUUCAACGAUGUUUUGAGCGUCAUGGAGCAUAUGAGAUGUUCCAAGAGUUGAAGUUAAUAUUU
RNAcentral lists this ribosomal RNA (324 nucleotides) under Triticum aestivum (bread wheat). RNAcentral's name for it is "partial small subunit ribosomal RNA". Lineage: Eukaryota; Viridiplantae; Streptophyta; Magnoliopsida; Poales; Poaceae. The record is from RNAcentral.